Molecule: ribosomal RNA, 253 nt
Filed under: uncultured bacterium
Lineage: Bacteria
Description: partial 16S ribosomal RNA
Rfam family: Bacterial small subunit ribosomal RNA
Source: RNAcentral
UACAGAGGCCUCAAGCGUUGUUCGGAUUUAUUGGGCGUAAAGGGUGCGUAGGCGGUACCGAAAGUUAGGUGUGAAAGUUCGAGGCUCAACCUCGAAAUUGCACCUAAUACUCCGGUGCUUGAGUCUCAUAGAGGAAUCUGGAAUUCACGGUGUAGCAGUGAAAUGCGCAGAUAUCGUGAAGAAGGCCUGUGGCGAAAGCAAGAUUCUGGGUGACGACUGACGCUGAGGCACGAAAGCCAGGGGGGCAAACGGG